Molecule: ribosomal RNA, 228 nt
Filed under: Clostridioides difficile
Lineage: Bacteria; Bacillati; Bacillota; Clostridia; Peptostreptococcales; Peptostreptococcaceae
Description: partial 16S ribosomal RNA
Rfam family: Bacterial small subunit ribosomal RNA
Source: RNAcentral
CCUACAUGAAGCUGGAGUUACUAGUAAGCGCAGAUCAGAAUGCUGCGGUAAAUGCGUUCCCGGGUCUUGUACACACCGCCCGUCACACCACGGGAGUUGGAGACGCCCGAAGCCGAUUAUCUAACCUGUUGGAAGAAGUCGUCGAAGGUGGAAUCAAUAACUGGGGUGAAGUCGUAACAAGGUAGCCGUAUCGGAAGGUGCGGCUGGAUCACCUCCUUUCUAAGGAGA